RNAcentral lists this ribosomal RNA (433 nucleotides) under uncultured bacterium. RNAcentral's name for it is "partial 16S ribosomal RNA". It matches the Rfam family "Bacterial small subunit ribosomal RNA", at positions 29 to 507 of the family's 1533-position model. The record is from RNAcentral.
AACGAACGCUGGCGGCAUGCCUAACACAUGCAAGUCGAGCGAACACACCGGGUCUUGUGGCGCACGAGGGCGUCGCCCGACGGAACCGUCCCUUAGGGUUGGAAUAACUAUCCGACUGGGGUACUAUUGGCGGAUAGUAGCUACUGCCGAAUGAUAUAUCGCAUUGGGUUGUACACGAGUUGCAUUAGCUUGUUGUUACGGUAAAAGACUCUUAAGGCGACGAUCCAUAACUGGGUUGAGAGGAAGAUCAGCCACACUGGGACUGAGACACGGCCCAGACUCCUACGGGAUGCAGCAGUGGGGAAUAUAGGACAACCGGCGAAAGCAUGAUCCAGCAAGGCCGCGAGAGUGAUGAAGGCCGUAGGGUUGUAAAGCGCUUUUAACCGGGAUGAUAAUGACAGUACCGGGAGAAUAAGCUCCGGCUAACUCCGUG